This 504-nucleotide ribosomal RNA is filed under the name uncultured bacterium. RNAcentral describes it as "bacterial SSU rRNA". It matches the Rfam family "Bacterial small subunit ribosomal RNA", at positions 94 to 630 of the family's 1533-position model. The record is from RNAcentral.
AGUGGCGCACGGGUGAGUAACACGUGAAUAAUCUACCUCCGAGUGGGGAAUAACUGAGAGAAAUCUUAGCUAAUACCGCAUAACACUUACGAGUCAAAGCAGCAAUGCGCUUGGAGAGGAGUUCGCGGCCGAUUAGUUAGUUGGCGGGGUAAUGGCCCACCAAGACGAUGAUCGGUAUCCGGCCUGAGAGGGCGCACGGACACACUGGAACUGAAACACGGUCCAGACUCCUACGGGAGGCAGCAGUGGGGAAUUUUGCGCAAUGGGGGAAACCCUGACGCAGCAACGCCGCGUGGAGGAUGAAGUAUCUUGGUACGUAAACUCCUUUCGAUUGGGAAGAUAAUGACGGUACCAAUAGAAGAAGCCCCGGCUAACUUCGUGCCAGCAGCCGCGGUAAUACGAGGGGGGCAAGCGUUGUUCGGAUUUAUUGGGCGUAAAGGGUGCGUAGGCGGUUUGGCAAGUCUUAUGUGAAAUCUUCGGGCUCAACCCGAAGCCUGCAUAAGA